This 253-nucleotide ribosomal RNA is filed under the name uncultured bacterium. RNAcentral describes it as "partial 16S ribosomal RNA". It matches the Rfam family "Bacterial small subunit ribosomal RNA", at positions 524 to 776 of the family's 1533-position model. The record is from RNAcentral.
GACGUAGGGGGCAAGCGUUGUCCGGAAUCAUUGGGCGUAAAGAGCGUGUAGGCGGCCCGGUAAGUCCGUUGUGAAAGUCGAGGGCUCAACCCUCGAAUGCCGGCGGAUACUGCCGGGCUAGAAUCCGGAAGAGGCGAGUGGAAUUCCUGGUGUAGCGGUGAAAUGCGCAGAUAUCAGGAGGAACACCAAUGGCGAAGGCAGCUCGCUGGGACGGUAUUGACGCUGAGACGCGAAAGCGUGGGGAGCAAACAGG